This 108-nucleotide small nuclear RNA is filed under the name Peromyscus maniculatus bairdii (prairie deer mouse). Lineage: Eukaryota; Metazoa; Chordata; Mammalia; Rodentia; Cricetidae. The record is from RNAcentral.
GUGCUCACUUAGGCAGCAAGUCUACUAAAAGUAGAAUGGUAACAGAUAAAAUUAAUACGACCCCUGCCCAAGGAUGACACACAAAUUCAUGCUGUUCCUUUUGUUUGU